GUGGGGAAUUUUGGACAAUGGGCGCAAGCCUGAUCCAGCAAUGCCGCGUGCAGGAAGAAGGCCUUCGGGUUGUAAACUGCUUUUGUACGGAACGAAACGGUCCGGGUUAAUACCCUGGGCUAAUGACGGUACCGUAAGAAUAAGCACCGGCUAACUACGUGCCAGCAGCCGCGGUAAUACGUAGGGUGCAAGCGUUAAUCGGAAUUACUGGGCGUAAAGCGUGCGCAGGCGGUUUUGUAAGACAGGCGUGAAAUCCCCGGGCUCAACCUGGGAAUUGCGCUUGUGACUGAAAGGCUGGAGUGCGGCAGAGGGGGAUGGAAUUCCGCGUGUAGCAGUGAAAUGCGUAGAUAUGCGGAGGAACACCGAUGGCGAAGGCAAUCCCCUGGGCCUGCACUGACGCUCAUGCACGAAAGCGUGGGGAGCAAACAGGAUUAGAUACCCGUGUAGUCC
Molecule: ribosomal RNA, 450 nt
Filed under: uncultured bacterium
Lineage: Bacteria
Description: partial 16S ribosomal RNA
Rfam family: Bacterial small subunit ribosomal RNA
Source: RNAcentral